This 402-nucleotide ribosomal RNA is filed under the name uncultured Devosia sp. RNAcentral describes it as "bacterial SSU rRNA". It matches the Rfam family "Bacterial small subunit ribosomal RNA", at positions 355 to 774 of the family's 1533-position model. The record is from RNAcentral. Lineage: Bacteria; Pseudomonadati; Pseudomonadota; Alphaproteobacteria; Hyphomicrobiales; Devosiaceae.
UGGGGAAUAUUGGACAAUGGGCGCAAGCCUGAUCCAGCCAUGCCGCGUGAGUGAUGAAGGCCUUAGGGUUGUAAAGCUCUUUCAGUAGGGAAGAUAAUGACGGUACCUACAGAAGAAGCCCCGGCUAACUUCGUGCCAGCAGCCGCGGUAAUACGAAGGGGGCUAGCGUUGUUCGGAUUUACUGGGCGUAAAGCGCACGUAGGCGGAUUGGUCAGUUAGGGGUGAAAUCCUGGAGCUCAACUCCAGAACUGCCCUUAAUACUGCCAGUCUAGAGUCCGGAAGAGGUAAGUGGAACUCCUAGUGUAGAGGUGGAAUUCGUAGAUAUUAGGAAGAACACCAGUGGCGAAGGCGGCUUACUGGUCCGGCACUGACGCUGAGGUGCGAAAGCGUGGGGAGCAAACA